RNAcentral lists this long non-coding RNA (1384 nucleotides) under Lepisosteus oculatus (spotted gar). RNAcentral's name for it is "lncRNA (ENSLOCG00000023204.1)". The record is from RNAcentral. Lineage: Eukaryota; Metazoa; Chordata; Actinopteri; Semionotiformes; Lepisosteidae.
AGCAGGUUUGCCGUUCUGCCUUGCUGAAGGAGUUCUUGUGAUGCGUCCCUGAAGCCAAAAAAGAUGGGAGUUCUGGAUCCAGUCGCUUCUCCCCACAGCGACCUCUGCUCUCCAUGCGGCCUGUGGAAGUCAGAGCGCUCUCAGAAGAAUAAGAAGACCCUUGUGUGUAAAACCCCAGGUGCUCCCAGAGCUCUGAUCUGCACAGUUCUCAUUCUCUGCUCAGUGAGCUGGCAGGGAUCCCAGGCUGAAAUUCCUGCAGUUGCAGGGGAAGGCGACUGGGAUAUUGAAUCCAGUGGCUCAGUGUUGAGGCACAGCCAGAGGUCAGCCGGCCAUGAGCUCCAAAGGAGAGAGACGGAGCAGAACAACAACCUCCGCCAGGGCAAGGAAGGAACUAUCUUCGGUGCUAACAGAGGCAUGGAAAGGGAAAAGAAAACAAACGCGUCCUGUGAGUCCCUCUUGCGCCUGUCACAACAAUACAUGCUGGCCAAAGCUUUCAGAAAAACUCUGGCUCUGGAUCUGCUGCCCCCAUUGAGCUGUGAGGAGUGGCUCUCUGCACACCACAACCCGGUUAACCCUCUGAAACGCGCUCCACUGGCUGACAAGCCGUGGCUUUUUCAGCAGGCCUUGCUCUUCCUGAGGGAAGGAGGCAGGCGGACUUCAGCCCAACAGGCUGAAGUGUUUCCUGCUCUGCAGAAACAACUCAUUCAAAGUCCAUACAAGCCCUCCUUGAGGCCGAUCUUCAAAAACGAUGGUAGGUACCUAUCUGUCUGAGGAACGUUACACAUUUAUACACACCCUUCAUGAACUGUUCUAAUAGAAUAAGCAAAGACACCGCAGGUAUGCAUCAAGAUAUUCCAAUUGUUAUGAAUCAAAUAUUUGUUGUAAAAAUGUAAGAAAAUGAAUAGUUCGAAAAUAAUUGCACACCCAGUGCCUCGCUAAGGUAUUCAGACACUUGCUCAUUUUUCACUUUUUGUUGCUUUAAAACUGGCAGUCAUGACCAGUUUCCAUCCAUCCAUUUUCAGGGUUGAAGGGCAGCAAGAGUUUUCUAGCCAACUAACGGGCACAUGGUGGGGUACUCCCUGAUUAUGAUGCCUGUCCAGCGCAGGGCACACACAGACACAAACAUGUUCAAACUAGGGCCAGUUUGUGCAGAAGCCAAUUAACCUACCACGGUGUCUUUGGACUGUGGAGGGAAACCAGAGCACCCAGAGGAAACCCACGGGACCAUGGGGAGAACAUACUGUACGAGUUCCACAUAGAAAGCUCUGCAGGAAUUAAAGGUGUGAGGCAGCAAUGCUAACCAUUGCAACACUGUGUCGCUGUCAUGACACUUUGAGGUAGAAAUUAAUAUUUUAUAUAUACAACAUACUCCACACAUUCAAAG